This 463-nucleotide ribosomal RNA is filed under the name uncultured bacterium. Its description in RNAcentral is "partial 16S ribosomal RNA". It matches the Rfam family "Bacterial small subunit ribosomal RNA", at positions 28 to 507 of the family's 1533-position model. The record is from RNAcentral.
GACGAACGCUGGCGGCGUGCUUAACACAUGCAAGUCGAGCGGUAAGGCCCUUCGGGGUACACGAGCGGCGAACGGGUGAGUAACACGUGAGUAAUCUGCCCAUCACUUCGGGAUAACUCCGGGAAACCGGUGCUAAUACCGAAUAUGACCACUUCAGGCAUCUGAUGGUGGUGGAAAGUUCCGGCGGUGAUGGAUGAGCUCGCGGCCUAUCAGCUUGUUGGUGGGGUAGUGGCCUACCAAGGCUUCGACGGGUAGCCGGCCUGAGAGGGUGACCGGCCACACUGGGACUGAGACACGGCCCAGACUCCUACGGGAGGCAGCAGUGGGGAAUAUUGGACAAUGGGCGAAAGCCUGAUCCAGCAACGCCGCGUAAGGGAUGACGGCCUUCGGGUUGUAAACCUCUUUCAGCAGGGACGAAGCGCAAGUGACGGUACCUGCAGAAGAAGCACCGGCCAACUACGUG